UCCCCGCACUCUGGAGAGCGGCAGUAGCCCGCUGCGCACAUGCUGCGCGGGCAGGCUGCCCACCGAAGGGGCGCGCGUUUGCCGGCUUGGUCCGCAGCGCAAUCUCUCAGGUAUCGAGGACAGAGGGGCAUGU
Molecule: non-coding RNA, 133 nt
Filed under: Burkholderia vietnamiensis
Lineage: Bacteria; Pseudomonadati; Pseudomonadota; Betaproteobacteria; Burkholderiales; Burkholderiaceae
Description: Glycine sequence
Rfam family: Glycine riboswitch aptamer
About the family: This family represents the bacterial glycine riboswitch. Glycine riboswitches usually consist of two metabolite-binding aptamers domains with similar structures in tandem.
Source: RNAcentral